This 209-nucleotide ribosomal RNA is filed under the name uncultured bacterium. Its description in RNAcentral is "partial 16S ribosomal RNA". It matches the Rfam family "Bacterial small subunit ribosomal RNA", at positions 124 to 334 of the family's 1533-position model. The record is from RNAcentral.
AUCUGCCCAGUAGUGGGGAACAACUCCUCGAAAGAGGAGCUAAUACCGCAUACGGUCUCUCUUAGCCGAGAAGACUAAAGCUCGCAAGAGCGCUAUUGGAGGAACCUGCGGCUGAUUAGCUAGUUGGUGGGGUAAAGGCCUACCAAGGCGAUGAUCAGUAGCUGGUCUGAGAGGAUGGACAGCCACACUGGGACUGAGAUACGGCCCAG